This is a long non-coding RNA of Asparagus officinalis (garden asparagus), 193 nucleotides long. RefSeq lists it as uncharacterized. The record is from RefSeq and is a predicted model, not a curated record. The transcript is spliced from 3 exons. NCBI's taxonomy places the organism in Eukaryota, Viridiplantae, Streptophyta, Magnoliopsida, Asparagales, Asparagaceae.
CUACAGAAGUGAGUGUUGAUGACUGGGAUUGGCUAGUUAAGGAACAUUAUUUUUCUUCAAAAUUUUAGAAAGCAAGCCAACAAAAUACACUUAACAGAGGCAAAAGAAAGAUGCUCCACCACACGGGCAGCAAACCCUUUAGACAAAUUGCGUGGGAAUUGGGUGGCAAGUCAGGAAAUCCACCUGAUGUGGC